GUGAUUAACGCGAAGAACCUUACCUAGGCUUGAAAAGCUUAUGACCGGCUGUGAAAGCAGCUUUCCCGCAAGGGCAUAAGUACAGGUGCUGCAUGGCUGUCGUCAGCUCGUGCCGUGAGGUGUUGGGUUAAGUCCCGCAACGAGCGCAACCCUUACCAUUAGUUGCCACCGGAGCAAUCCGAGCACUCUAAUGGAACUGCCUACGCAAGUAGUGAGGAAGGUGAGGAUGACGUCAAGUCCGCAUGGCCCUUACGCCUAGGGCUACACACGUGCUACAAUGGCCGCCACAACGGGCAGCAAAAUCGCGAGAUGGAGCGAAUCCCUAAAAAGCGGCCUCAGUUCGGAUUGGAGUCUGCAACUCGACUCCAUGAAGUUGGAAUUGCUAGUAAUCGCGUAUCAGCAUGACGCGGUGAAUACGUUCCCGGGCCUUGUACACACCGCCCGU
RNAcentral lists this ribosomal RNA (445 nucleotides) under bacterium enrichment culture DGGE band 22(2012). RNAcentral's name for it is "bacterial SSU rRNA". It matches the Rfam family "Bacterial small subunit ribosomal RNA", at positions 953 to 1397 of the family's 1533-position model. The record is from RNAcentral.